AUGCGACGAAUUCCGCCCUCUCUACGUUGUAGAGACCUCGGUUAUGAAGCACAAGUUAUGAAACGGGCUUUUCAAUUGAUACAUCAUCAUCCCUUACUUGCCUUCCAACAUCAUGAUGGUUAUCUGAAUCAACAUCUGUCUCAUCACAUAUUAUAUCCAAUCUACUAUGCAGGCCAAGGACUGGCGUUCAACUUGAAGCGAGUCUAUGCAGAGCUCUCAUUAGCAUGA
Molecule: long non-coding RNA, 228 nt
Filed under: Vicia faba (fava bean)
Lineage: Eukaryota; Viridiplantae; Streptophyta; Magnoliopsida; Fabales; Fabaceae
Source: RNAcentral